UUUCUGUUCGUCAAAACCCAAGGCAAGCUCUUCCAUUUCUCUACGUCAAGACCCAAGGCAAGGCCACCACAGAUCUGAGACCUCUAAGAUCUCCACCUACAAUUUCCAAUCUUUAACAGUAGUUUUGAGUCUGGAAAUGGAAGGCAAGGAGUAAAAGGGCGCAGAAAUGAGAAGAAAUGGAGAAAUGAAGUUUUCCUUGUUCUACUAGAAAAAGGAAUCCCAGUCAAAGUAGGAAUCCUAACUCAACUAGGACUGAGCUCGGAAAAAUGAUGUUCAGAAAUGAAGAAAUGACAGAGUCCCAGUUGGACUAGGAAACCUGAUGACACUAGGAAUCUUGAUGCUACUAGGAGACCUGGUGAGACUAGGAGAUGCUGUGUCUUGAAGAUGACUCAAGAUUGUUCAAAAAUGUUCUAGAAGAAGCAAAAUGGCGUUACAUUUGAAGAUGGGUUUCGAAUUGGAUCAUUUGAAGAAGCCUGGCCUGAAGAUUGAAGCAUGUGAUUGGCAUAUCAGUCUCUAGAAUUAUCCAUGACGUCUUGAGGAGUCCAUGGCCCAUUUAUAAUUGCUUUUUGCAGUGAUAAUUAAAAGAGAUAUUCAAGGAAUUUCGGCAAUGCACAAUUUGGGAUAGUUUUGGAUUUCUAUGGAAUUUUGGAGAAGAAAAUAAAGGAAUAAAUAUUGAAUUUGGAUUUCUGAUUCCAUUCUACAUACUUGGAGGCUGAAAUAUGGUCUGGGUACAUGGAAGAUUUCGGCAAAUAAAGAGGUGACUUGUUCUCCAAUUCUCAUGAAAUAUUUUCAUUGGCCGGAUGAUGUCACAAGUAGAUUUCAACCUUGAUAUCCUAGCCCUUGUCAUUAACUAUAUAUAGGAGGUUUCUGAAGCCAUUCUACACACCACAAAAUUUAGAAUCAAAAGCCACAAACACUUCCCCUUCUCUUCCAUGUUUCGGCAACAAAAGUUCAAGGUCAUGAGCAAUCCUCCUCUCCAUUCAAGCAUCCUUGCCGUGAUCCUCAUCUAUUCCACCACCUUUUGAAGUUUCUUACGUCCUUGAAGAUCAAAAAGUGAAAUCAGCGGAGUUGCGGAAAUCGAAGAAAAAUGGACACAGAAAUGAUGCAAAAUGGUGAAAGUCGGAAUUCUCGACAGAAGGACAAAAUUAUUUUACCUUUAUUAACCAAUUAACCAUUAGUUAAUUAACCUAUUGUUAAUUGGUUAAUUAACUUGUUAAUUAAGCAGGCAUGCACGUUUUGGUCUAAUUAAUUGGUCUGACCAAUUGUGAGUUGACAAGUGGCAUGGACCUCGUUUGUCUUCAUUCAAAUUAUGCAGCAGCUAAUCCCGUGGGAUGGAGCAACCAUGGAUCAUUUCAUUUUUUUCCUUCCCUUGUCUUAAUUCCAAAACGCACCGGAUCGUCCAAAACCCGUAUCCUUUUCUCCUCUCUCACAAACAAUAGCCACGAAGUGACCCUUAUAUAUUCAAUCUCUGGGAACAUAUAGAACAGCGCCGCACACACAAACAGUAGCCGCAGGGGGCAGUCCUUUGGGCUGCUCUGUCUCCCUCCUUCUCCAUUUUUCAUAAUAGUUUUAGUUUUCUUUUGGGUAUUCAUAGAAUUUCUCACACAAGCUUCAAGCAUUCAUCAAGAGCUACAAGAUUCAAGCUAAUUGUGGGAGUUGUAAUUCAAGGGAAGUCAUAUUAGUUUCCUAGCUAAUUGUGGCUACCUUUGUUUUCUCCUACACUUCUAUAAUCUUUUCUCUUUGAAUUUUGUAUCUUUGUUGUUCAUAAUUAUGGAUUGUGAGUAAUUUCUUUGUUGGGGGUUAGGGUUGUGUGCCCUAACCCAAAUUUGAUGUAAUGGAUGCUUAAUUUGAUUUGU
Rosa rugosa (rugosa rose) is the source of this 1856-nucleotide long non-coding RNA. RefSeq lists it as uncharacterized. The transcript has 3 exons. The record is from RefSeq and is a predicted model, not a curated record. Lineage: Eukaryota; Viridiplantae; Streptophyta; Magnoliopsida; Rosales; Rosaceae.